GGCCCUGUAGUCUAAUGGUAAAACAACUCCCUUACGCGGAGUGGUCCCAAGUUCGAUUCUUGGCAGGGCCA
This 71-nucleotide transfer RNA is filed under the name Candidatus Pacearchaeota archaeon. RNAcentral describes it as "tRNA-Val". It matches the Rfam family "tRNA". Rfam says of the family: Transfer RNA (tRNA) molecules are approximately 80 nucleotides in length. Lineage: Archaea; Nanobdellati. The record is from RNAcentral.